UGAGUAACCUGCCCCAGACUCUGGGAUAAGCACUGGAAACGGUGUCUAAUACCGGAUACGAGCUUCAGCCGCAUGGCUAGGAGCUGGAAAGAAUUUCGGUCUGGGAUGGACUCGCGGCCUAUCAGCUAGUUGGUGUGGGUAAUGGCCCACCAAGGCGACGACGAGUAGCUGGUCUGAGAGGACGACCAGCCACACUGGAACUGAGAUACGGUCCAGACCUCGUACGGGA
This 229-nucleotide ribosomal RNA is filed under the name uncultured bacterium. RNAcentral's name for it is "partial 16S ribosomal RNA". It matches the Rfam family "Bacterial small subunit ribosomal RNA", at positions 118 to 346 of the family's 1533-position model. The record is from RNAcentral.